CCGACUCAUUCCUGCGGACCACGGCCGGAAUCCUGAACUGCCCCUCUUUGCCUGUAACUGUUUGCAACACAGUCCCCAUCUCCGAAUAACCAAAUUUUCUCCUUUAAUGAAGGGUUGCUAAAGUCAAGGUCAAUCACAAUGAUGAAUCAUUUCCUUGGGGGCUUCUCUGAUUCCCCACCCGGCCGCCCCUUCGUUCCACACUUUCCCUUUCAAGCAUACUCAAACUCCAGGUUUCCACCUGCGGCCGCUGCCACGCUGGCUCUCCCACACUCACUCCCGCCCUCCAGCUGCUAUAGCUAAAAUCUGGAGCCACGGAGUUCACUUUUCUAUAGAAGACAAAGCUGAGCAUGCUCAGUGGCCAAGGCAAAGUUUGGUCGGAAACUAGUUUUUGCAUUAGACUCUCCAUGGGCUCCAUAGACUCUCCUGUACCUUACGACUAGGCACAGGAGCGUUUCCCCGGUGAAAUGGAGAAGAGGACACUUGGUCUUUUCAACUUUACUAGGAGGGCUCCUUUCUUCCCAGUCCGUAAGGAGGGGUCUGACUUUCAUUUCCACCCCAGCAUUAUCACCUUAACUCUCAUUCCAGUCAAUCCCGAAACUCCGUUGCCCUACCCACUUCACCCUUCUUUUGUUUGUCCUGAUUUGAUUCCUGCGUUCUCACAGAGGGCUACCUGGACUUUGAACCUCCACCCCCCUUUCUACAUUCUUGCAUUCCAGAAACAUAUGAAGCUCAUUUCUGCCACCCUUCCUAGAAAACUGGUUCCUGACAGAGACAUGUGGAAAGGUAAGUAAACCUGGGCCCAAGAUCACAGAGCACACAGCUGGAAUUCACAGCAAGACCUGAUUGACUUCGAAGUCAGUGGUCUUUCCCCUGCUUCCCACGAGACAGGUAAUCCCUCAGCUUACUCUUGAAGAGGCAAUGUGGGCUACUGCAUUUGAAUGUCUGAAUUCAAGCCUUGUAGAAACAACUAGCAGUAACCAAACACCAUUAUUUUUGUUUGUUCAUUUGUUUCCAAAUGACUUGUGACUUUUCUAAUGGAGAAAACACUCAACCCAAAUCUUAAUUCCACCAACAAUGAGUGUGUGCCUUGGACAAUUCACAGCCUGUCUGAGCUAGUUUAUUUUAGAGUAAGCAAGUUGGAGUAGGUGACCUCUGUGUUCUUUGUAAUUUGAGACGUUUUGGUGUUCACACAGGUUACUACAUGAAGAGCUGGGACUGGAAUACAGGUUUUCUAUGUUCACCUGGGGAUAGCUUUUCCAUCAUCCCUCCUGAGUCUGUGAGGUAUCCCAGUUUUUAAGCCAGAACUUUGAAACCAGAAGUAAAUGGUUAAGUUUAUCUGUCUAUGCCUAUGUGUAUUCUAGCCAAAUAAACCAUGACACUUAAAACAAUUUCAAUAUUUCAAAGAUGUAGUAAAUUUCCUUGAACCUUUUUUAUUGUUUUUUAUAAAUUAAAAAUUAUGAAAUAAUUCAAACAUUUUUAAAAUAGGAAAUAACGUGAUAUGCAUGUACCCCAUACCCAGAUUUAAUAGAUGUUUACAUUAUGCAGUAUCUGUUUCUUUUUUUUUUUUUUUUCUUGAGACAGAGUCUUGCUCUGUCACCCAGGCUGGAGUGCAGUGGCAUAAUCUCGGCUCACUGCAACCUCCGCCUCCCGGGUUCAAGCGAUUCUCCUGCCUCAGCCUCCUGAGUAGGUGAGAUUACAGGCGCGCACCACCAAGUCCAGCUAUUUUUUGUGUUUUUAGUAGAGACAGGGUUUCACCAUGUUGGUCAGGCUGGUCUCGAACUCCUGACCUCGUGAUCCACCUACCUUGGCCUCCCAAAGUGCUGGGAUUGCAGGCAUGAGCCACCGCACCUGGCCUUCAAUUUUUUGAUAGAAGUAAGACAUCACAGGUACAAUCAAAGUUUCCUAAUCUUAUAUUUCUUCUCACACUUCCCAGAGGAAAAUGACUAUUCUAAAGUUAGUUACUUCUAUUUCUUAAUUGUAAUACAUUUAUUCAUAUUCUUAAGACAUUUAUGUAAUAUUGUGUUAAGUAUUUUUGAAAUGUAUAUAAAUGGAAUCAUACAAUAAAGACCCUCAGCAGUUUUUUUUCACUGAAUGUUCUGGUUUCAAGAUUUAUCCAUGUGAAUAUGUGUAGGUCUAGUUUAUUCAUUUUAAUUAUUGUGUUAUAUUUUAUUGUAUGACCAUAACAUUUAUUUUUUCUUUUGAUUGUGAAUUUAAUUUUUUUAAUAUUUAAACAGUGCUGCAAUGAACAUUUUUCCUUAUAUCUAUCUGCUUGUUCCUGUGAGCUUCUCAAACCAUGACCUGAAGAUCGCUACCAGUUCAUAACUAAUUAAGUACAGAAAUUGACAAUAUUAAUUUAGAAACUUUAAUAGCAAUCCAACUGAGUACUUUUAUGUCUAUUGAAUCCAAUAAUACAGAAUAUUGAGUUCUGUAUUUUGUAUGUCUGUUUUAAAAUUUUAUUUUUUUGAGAUAGGGUCUCACUCUGUCUCCUAGGCCAGAGUGCAGUGGCGCAAUCACAGCUCACUGUAGCCUCAAAACUCCCAGGCUCAGGUGAUCGAUCCUCUCACCUCAGCUCCUGAGGAGCUAGGACUACAGGCGCACACCACCAUACCUGGCUAAUUUUUUCACUUGUUAUAGAGAUGGGGCUUUGCCAUCUUGCCCAGACUGGUCUCGAACUCCUGGGCUCAAGUGAUCCAUCCACCUCAGCCUUCCAACAUGCUGGGACUACAGGCAUGAGCCACUGUCCCCAGCCAAAAUUUUAUUUAUUCAUUUUCAUUGUAUUUUACAAACAUAUUGAUCCUCAGCAGCAUGGAAAUAUUUUUAGAAAACUUGCCUUUUUAUUACAGAUAGUUUGAGACUUUCUGCAUGGUUUCUACUUGCAAGUUGAAUUUCUGGCUUGAUGAAUAAGUGCAUCUUUAGCUCUAAAACAUAUAAACAAAUUCCACUCCAGAAUGGUCAAACCAAUUUUCAAUCUCUUCUGCAGUGUAUAAGUUUCCUUUUCCAACAGUUGCAUUAUCAGACCUUUAAAUCUUUUCUCAAUAUGAUAGCUAUGAAAUAUUUUAUUUAACUAGCAAUUAUCUGAUAAAUAGUGACGUUGAACAUCUAUUUAUAUGCUAAUUACAUUCCCAGUUACCUGACUUUAACAAGGCAGGUUUUCCAGUUUGCAAGUAUGGGGAAAAUAUGUCUUUAAAAAUCUAGCUAUAGCAGGCAAAGUAUCAUAACAGGUAAAACUGGUUUUUAAGAAGAAAAGCCUAGGAACAGCUAGCUUUGACUUGAUGAAGGACAGGAAAAACCAGUUGUAGCAAUUGAGUACAUGGACAGAUACUUUAGAGUACAUGUCUUUUCCGGUAUUUUGGUUUUGGGACAAUCCCUCCAUCACCAUUAUGACGUUUCAGUGGAGCAAUUUUCACUAAGAAUUUUGUACCUGUUUUCCAGUUUUGAUCAUCGAUGAUUUUCUGGUUCUAAUGAGAUCAAGGACAUGAAGAGGCUGAGUGCCUCCAUGAGCUUCAUUAUUUUCCAUGAUCUGACCUCUCAUUCUCUUAAGCUUUGGAGUUGGAUGAAGGAAGAACUCUGAAAAAAAGGUGGGAGGGUGUAGGUCCAGGCACCCCCUUGUAAUUCACACUGCCUCAGCCUGAGAGUUUGUGUGUGUGUGUGUGUGUGUGUGUGUGUGUGUGUGUGUGUGUGUUGUUGUUGUUGUUGUUUUUGAGAUGGAGUCUGCCUCUGUUGCCAGUCUGGAGUGCAAUGGUGCCAUCUCAGCUCACUGCAACCUCUGCCUCCCGGGUUCAAGCGAUUCUCCUGCCUCAGCCUCCCGAGUAGCUGGGACUACAGGCAAAUGCCACCAUGCCUGGCUAAUUUUUUGUAUUUUUAGUAAGACGGGGUUUCACCGUGUUAACCAGGAUGGUCUCGAUUUCCUGACCUCGUGAUCCGCCCACCUCGG
This 3934-nucleotide long non-coding RNA is filed under the name Homo sapiens (human). RNAcentral describes it as "PREDICTED lncRNA (TCONS_00231511)". Lineage: Eukaryota; Metazoa; Chordata; Mammalia; Primates; Hominidae. The record is from RNAcentral.